GAUGAAACUUAAAAGUACCCCUCAAUCCGCGAGAAAAAGAAGGGAAGAGUAAUGGGUUCUGUUCUUUUCCAUUAAAAUCUAGUCUUCCACCAAUAGUUUCUACGAAUUUGUUCUUGGAAGUUUCACUUGGUGAGAUUUUAACCUCUUUUAUUAGUGUUGUUUUUGGAUUCCAUAUUCUUCGAUGAUGAAUAAAGGUGUGUUCUUCAUGUUGUAUUAUGCUUCAUGUAUUGACUACUGAGAAUCUAUUUUAUUCCUAUUAUUAUAGUGGAAAUUGAUUCGGAGGUUGCAUAUUGGUGUUUUCUUGUGUUUUAUUUUUUCGAUAUUUAUAUUGCUUACAUAAAUUGUUGCUUUUGUGGUAUUGCAGUUUGUAUUGGUGCGUUGGUGUAUGGUAUCGGACCAGGUUGUAUUGUGUGGACUAAAAUGGAGGAGUCGGUAGGUAGUGCUAUGAUUAAACUCACAGGUCAAAAUUGGGUGACUUGGAAGCCUAGAAUGGAGGGAAUCCUUUAUUGAUCAAUCACAACCUUC
This 525-nucleotide long non-coding RNA is filed under the name Olea europaea subsp. europaea. Lineage: Eukaryota; Viridiplantae; Streptophyta; Magnoliopsida; Lamiales; Oleaceae. The record is from RNAcentral.